UGCCCUGUCCUGUCUGCUCAAAGCCAUGCCCAUCUUCAGCCCUGCGAGGGCCUGACUUCUCUUCCUGUCCGUGGAAGGAAGGCGAGCACCAGUGAGUCACAGAGCGGUGGAACACAGAGGGAACAUCCCAGCUUCAAGUGGCCCAUCCCUGGACCUGCAGACAGAUGGUUAAACAAUUGGAGACCCCCACUCCGAACUUGGAAAGACCAAGAGAAAGGAUCAGUUGCAAGAAACUUCCAGAACCUUUAGAGAACUAUAAUAUAUAGGAAGAGAUACCUGGAGGAUGGAGGUAGAAACACUACGCCAUGUGAUACCAAGAAAGACUUUUGCCUUCUGUAUGGCCUUGGGGGAAGACACUUGUGGGCUCAACAAGUCUCUAACUCCCAUAAGCAGCCCCAGCCUCCCCACCUUCAGGAUCCCUGGCAGCAGCUAGCCCUCCUAGUGGGAGUGUGGGAGCCCAAGGCCUGCAGGGAUCCCAGACAGUUGCUGACACCUGUCCUCAGGCUGGAGGUAGAACACCCCAAAUGUCUCCCAAAGGACCAGGGAAGCUGUCUAUCCCACUUCCCUGCCAGGAUGGAGGGCUUAACCACAGUCCCCUCUUCUCUAACUAGACAAGCACAUUCCCACCCUCUUUCCCCCCAGUACCUCCAUAAAUGGCUCAUUGUGACAUGG
Long non-coding RNA from Peromyscus eremicus (cactus mouse), 672 nucleotides. RefSeq lists it as uncharacterized. The transcript has 2 exons. The record is from RefSeq and is a predicted model, not a curated record. Lineage: Eukaryota; Metazoa; Chordata; Mammalia; Rodentia; Cricetidae.